AGUUGCUUCUUCCUAGUGUUUGGUUAACUUGGGGUAAAUGUGUGUUCUUGGUGUGGGAGUGGUCACUUUGGGCUAUUUAGCUUCUGCUGGAUGCCUGUAACUCAGUGUUCCUCCAGGCUUGGUGUGUGCUGGUGGUUCACUGCUCCUGGCUUUAC
Molecule: long non-coding RNA, 155 nt
Organism: Bufo bufo (common toad)
Lineage: Eukaryota; Metazoa; Chordata; Amphibia; Anura; Bufonidae
Exons: 3
Source: RefSeq, a predicted model, not a curated record